RNAcentral lists this ribosomal RNA (329 nucleotides) under uncultured eukaryote. RNAcentral's name for it is "partial 18S ribosomal RNA". It matches the Rfam family "Eukaryotic small subunit ribosomal RNA", at positions 1470 to 1796 of the family's 1831-position model. The record is from RNAcentral.
CCCUUAGAUGUUCUGGGCCGCACGCGCGCUACACUGAUGCAUUCAACGAGUCUAAAACCUGCUCUGAUAGGGGUGGGUAAUCUUUUGAAUGUGCAUCGUGAUUGGGAUAGAUGAUUGCAAUUUUUCAUCUUCAACGAGGAAUGCCUAGUAAACGCAAGUCAUCAGCUUGCAUUGAUUACGUCCCUGCCCUUUGUACACACCGCCCGUCGCUCCUACCGAUUGAAUGAUCCGAUGAAUAUCAUGGAUUGAGGAUUAUAGCAGGUUCGCCUGUCUUGAUCUUCGAGAAGUGAAGUAAAUCCUAUCAUUUAGAGGAAGGAGAGGUCGUAACA